This 329-nucleotide ribosomal RNA is filed under the name uncultured eukaryote. Its description in RNAcentral is "partial 18S ribosomal RNA". It matches the Rfam family "Eukaryotic small subunit ribosomal RNA", at positions 1470 to 1796 of the family's 1831-position model. The record is from RNAcentral.
CCCUUAGAUGUUCUGGGCCGCACGCGCGCUACACUGACGAAUGCAACGAGCUUAUAACCUUGGCCGAAAGGUCUGGGUAAUCUCCAAAUUUCGUCGUGAUGGGGAUAGAUUAUUGCAAUUAUUAAUCUUCAACGAGGAAUGCCUAGUAAGCGCAAGUCAUCAGCUUGCGUUGAUUACGUCCCUGCCCUUUGUACACACCGCCCGUCGCUACUACCGAUUGAAUGAUUUAGUGAGGACUUCGGACUGGGACCGAUGCGGCUUUCGGGCUGCGUCGGUAUUCUGGAAAGAUGUCCAAACUGUAUCAUUUAGAGGAAGUAAAAGUCGUANCA